RNAcentral lists this long non-coding RNA (393 nucleotides) under Oryza sativa Indica Group (long-grained rice). RNAcentral's name for it is "lncRNA OsGoSa_04g0025530". RNAcentral also lists the same sequence under 3 other names. The record is from RNAcentral. Lineage: Eukaryota; Viridiplantae; Streptophyta; Magnoliopsida; Poales; Poaceae.
CGUCGCCACAAAGCUAAACACAAAAGCGACACAACAGCUUCCACAUCGCAGAAGAGGUGUUAUCGUUGCCGAGCUAGCCGCCCCAGCGACCUACGCCGACUUCACAACCGCAACAACACUGAAGACGAAAAUCGCCAAAGCGAAAAGCGGCUCCGGCAUCCAACAAUAGACAUCAGCCAAGCCACUGAGGAGCCACUUCCUUCACACGGCCAGCACCAGAACUCCUUGGAAGAGACUGCAACAUGUCAUCGUUGCCAAGCGUCGCCGCACCCCAUCAGCGAGCAACUUCGACUUCAUCAGCAGAAACAACCGAAGAGCGUGUCGCCCACCACAAGAAAGAAGCGGACCCAAGAAGGCGAAGCCUCGCCGAACACAAAAUAUGAAAGCUAUUGA